RNAcentral lists this long non-coding RNA (377 nucleotides) under Ictidomys tridecemlineatus (thirteen-lined ground squirrel). RNAcentral's name for it is "lncRNA (ENSSTOG00000032461.1)". Lineage: Eukaryota; Metazoa; Chordata; Mammalia; Rodentia; Sciuridae. The record is from RNAcentral.
CAGACACAGGGACUUUUCUCCCUAAACAAAAGUAAACUUGGGAAAAAAAAAAAUCGGGUGGGGGUGAAGUGGUGGGCCUGGGUGGAGGAAAUAGAAGACAGCAAAAAAUAGAAGCUAAAAAUAGAAACUUGUCUUUUUUGAUGACUCCUGGGUCUUGGAGAAGAUGUGUCCCGCACCAUCACUCCCUGUACCUGAUGGAGACUGUGCUAGGCGGCGGCAGCAGCCUGCAACUACCCCUAAUGACUUCACUGGGUGCAGAUGAUCUCACAGGGACCAAAAGUUGGAACAGGGAAGAAAAAGUGUGUGAAAAGUGAACAACGCUUCCCAAGGCCAGGUGAGGGCCUUCCCUUCUGGGCUGGGCAGUCAUGAGGUCCUGG